GCGCCGACCUUGAUCUCGUAGCCGGCGCCAGCAGCCGCGCUUUGGGGCGUCGGCUCACGUGGGGCCGGCAACGCGUCUUCCAGGAUGUUCGCGCGCUAGUCGCCGCUGAGGGGCCGGCGAUGCGCGAGGAGUUCCGGCGAGGAAGGUCGGUCAGUGGACAUGGCCGAGGCCCGCGGUGUCCGCGUGUGGGAGCUGCAGGGCUGAGGAGAGGCCGCCCGCAACCCUCGGGAAUCGUGUGAGGUGCCACUGGGGUCGCUUCACAUCAGGAGGCCCCGUCUCGGGGGACGCGCGCAGGUGACCCUGCUGGUCGUACCUGGCCGGGGUGGCCCGGAGGGGCUGGGUCUCGGCGCCAGGAGGGGCCGUGUGGGCCGCCUGUUAAAGGACCCCUCGUUCGCUGACAUUUGAUUUUGCAUUGGGUGCCUUCUCUUCUGUUUUUUUCAGCCAGUGAGAUCCGUCCUGGGCACUCAGCUGUAGAGCAGGGGAACGAGUCCUGCGCUUUUUGCGCUGAGGUCUCCUGGCCCGUAGGCCAGGCAGCCUCUGAGCUCCUUUCUCACCAGCAGCUUGCGAUCCCUCAUCCCUGGCCCUGUCACUCCCAGCUGUUUCCAGUGCCGCCCUUUUUUUUUUUUUUUUUUUGAGAUGGAGAGUUUAACUUGUUCGCCCAGGCUGGAGUGAAGUGGCACGAUCUUGGCCUACUGCAACCUCUGCCUCCCGGAUUCAAGCGAUUCUCCUGCCUCAGCCUCCCGAGUAGUUGGGAUUACAGUCGUGCGCCACCACGCCCGGCUAAUGUUUAUAUUUUUAGUAGAGACGGGUUUUCACCAUAUUGGUCAGGCUGGUCUCGAACUCGUGACCUCAGGUGAUUCCCUCCCCCCGCCCCACCACCUCAGCCUCCCAAAGUGCUGGGAUUACAGGCCUGAGCCACCGUUCCCGGCCUCGAGCGCCUUCUUAUAAACUGGAUGGUGGUUUUUGUUUUCACCUUCAAAGUCGAAUCUCCCUAGUCCGUUUAUUACCAGAAAGAGGUCUCCACUCAGACCCAGCGAGAGGCUUCUUGGAUGUCGCGUAGGAAAGAAUUCGGGGCGAGUCCACGGACUAAAGUGAAAGCAAGUGUAUUAGAGAAGUGAGAAAGCAAAAGAAUGGCAGAGCAGGGCAUUCCUGAAAGCGGGAGGAGGAAGGCGCCCGCCUUAGGUACAGUGCUUGUUCAAAUCUAAGGUAACACAGCCAAAGAAAUCUUGGGGGACAUGGGCUCUACCACGAGGGCCCACGACCAAGGUUUCAUGCGCGUCCGUGUGAAGAGACCACCAAACAGGAUUUGUGUGAGCAACAUGGCUGUUUAUUUCACCUGGGUGCAGGCGGGCUGAGUCCAAAAAGACAGUCAGCGAAGGGAGAUAGGGGUGGGGCCGUUUUAUAGGAUUUGGGAAGGUAAUGGAAAAUUACAGUCAAAGGGGGUUGUUCUCUGGUGGGCAGGGGUGGGGGGUCACAAGGUGCUCAGUGGGGGAGCUUCUGAGCCAGGAGAAGGAAAUUCACAGGGUUAAUCACUUAGUUAAGGUUGGGCAGGAACAAAUCACGAUGGUGGAAUGUCAUCAGUUAAGGUGGGGCAGGGCCUUUUCACUUCUUUUGUGAUUCUUCAGUUACUUCAGGCCAUCUGGGCGUAUACGUACAAGUCACAGGGGAUGCGAUGGCUUGGCUUGGGCUCAGAGGCCUGACACAAGGAUUGUUCAUCUUUGUUUACUGACUUUGGCAAAGAUCUAUAUUAUCUUUAAAGCGAAACCUAAAUGAAGAAUGCUUUUGAUCUUAAGAUAUUGUUAGGUUUUGAAGGGAAGACGAGAGUUAAAGAAUGACACACAGGUCGGGCGCUGUGGCUCACGCCUGUAAUCCCAGCACUUUGGGAGGCCGAGGCGGGUGCAUCACCUGAGGUCAGGAGUGGGAGACCAGCCCGACCAACAUGGUGAAACCUCAUCUCUACUAAAAAUACAAAAAUUAGCGGGGCGUGGUGGCACAUGCCUGUAAUCUCAGCUACUUGGGAGGCUGAAGCAGGAGAAUCACUUGAACCCGCGAGGCAGAGGUUGCAGCGAGCCAAAAUCACGCCAUUGCACUCCAGGCUGGGUAAUACAGUGAGACUGCGUCUCAAAAAAAAAAAAAAAAAAAAAAAAAAACAAAGGGCAGCUCAACAGCAACACAGGUAUAUGGCAAAAACCUACAGAGAUGGGGGAUCAGCUUAAUGCCAGAGCCCACUGCUGCUUACAGGCUGGGGUACUUAUAGGGCAGGAGGGGAAUGGGCAGUAUGGCUUGCCAUGUGAAUAUACUUACCAGUAUAUCUAUCCAUAAAACGUUCUAUGAUCAGGCAGUUUGGCCCUUGUUCCCUCAGAAAGUGACAGUGAUGUUCCUUGCACCUUUGCUGAGCAAGGUUUGAUAGGGAUGUUCCUUCAAUUGGGCCUUUACCCAACAGGGUUUGGUAAGAAAGUUGGGCAGGAAAUUUCUCACGGCCUGAACCCCCGUGGAAUGUUUCGCUUUGACCAGUGUCUGCGAAAUGGCGGGGGGCUUAGAAAAUGGUGCAGUUUGGCAGGGCGUGGUGGCUCACGCCUGUAAUCCCAGCACUUUGGGAGGCUGAGGCGGGUGGAUCACAAGGUCAAGAGAUCGAGACCAUCCUGGCCAACAUGGUGAAACCCUAUCUCUACUAAAAAUACAAAAAAUUAGCCGGGCGUGGUAGCGGGUGCCUGUAGUCCCAGCUACUCAGGAGGCUGAGGCAGGAGAAUGGCGUGAACCCAGGAGGCGGAGCUUGCAGUGAGCUGAGAUUGCCCCACUGCACUCCCGCCUGGGCAACAGAGCGAGACUCCAUCUCAAAAAAAAAAAAAAAAGAAAGAAAGAAAAUGGUGCAGUUUGGACUAACAGAUACAGCGACAUCAAAAUGUUUCCUGGGUCUGUUAAGUCCUGGGUUUGUUUAGUGAACGUUAUUAAUCUGUUCCUGUAACCCUAAACAUCUUGUGACUACUAAGAAUGCAGCCAACAGGUCUCUGCCUGAUUUUACCUACUGCCUCUUCAAGAUGGAAUUGCUCUGGUUCCAAUGCCUCUGACAAACUGGCUGCUUGAUCUCUAGGUUGUGACCAUGUCAGGGAUAGAGGCAGCUUAGGUAGAGGUAGACUUUCUUGUACUCAACAUUGAAUUGUGGCUUAGUUAAAAUCAGAACUUUCAUUCUUGGAAUAAUACAGUAUUGUAAGGGUAAGCCAAAUGAUUAACACAUUUACUUAAUUACACAUUGUAGCAUUGAAAUAACUGAUGCCUUUCUAAUGCAAAUAAAAAAGAUUUAUGUAUAUGAUAGCACUGUAGCUGUCUUGCGCCUUACUGGAUGGAUUUCAUUGCUGGCUAAAAUGACAACUUUAAACUGGCUAUAACUCAGAAGAAUGGAGGCACUUUGCACGCAGACAUCUACCUCCAUUGAAUUUGGCUACUUCCUUUUAAUGAAGCUCAAGUCUCAUGUUAUGAAAUACUCCUCCAAAGGUGUUAGCCCUUUUUUCCUAUACUCUGCCUUUCAAAAAUCCCUUUCAAUUUGCUUAACCCCUGAGAGCCAAAGGACUGUGAUGGUUGUUAGGCUGGGUCAUUGUCAUCAUGUUCAGUAAAUAAAUACCCAGACAUGUCAGUUUACCUACUUUACCUGAUUCCAAAUGAGUCCAUGGUGAUGUGAUCCUGCCUUUCUUUCUGCUGUUAGAGGUCCAUGCCAGGAGCCAGCUUUGUAUCAGUUUUGCCACAGUGAUCAGGUCAUAAAUGUCUCAGAUCAUUCAAGCCCAGUUUAACCUAGCAAAGAAAAUGGCAAGAUAAUAUUGCUGUGUUCUAGCUGUGUUCUGGCCUUCAUUUUAGGUAGGCUUAAACCUCGACCUGGAGUCAUUCCUGUUACGAUUUACCAGAAAACACCCAACAGGAAGCCUACAGAACUACACUUUGCUCCUAAUGUUAAGGAAUGAAAACAGGAAAUGUUCUGUUAUCUGCCUGGCAGUGGGGCUUUGGAGUUAAUCUCCUGGCCGUAUCACUUACCAGCUUGGCAGCCUUGGACAAACUGAGCUCUGAGCUCAAGUUUCCUCAUCUGUAAAGCGAGGGUGUAUUAUGUACCUUCAUUUGGUUGUACAGAUUAAGUGUGAACACUUAGGUAAAGCACACAGUAUGGGGCUGAGUAAAUGGACUGUUAAAUAAGACAGUAUCACUUGUUUUUAAGUUCCUUGGAGCUUUCUCCCCUAAACAGCUCAAAAGAUUUUCAUUUUUUUCUAAUGCUAAUAUUUUUCUAAUUCUUGUUUUAAAAUAUUUUACUGUAAAAUAUUUUGGCCAGGUGUAGUGGCUCACACCUGUAAUCCCAACACUUUGGGAGACCAAGGCAGGAGGAUUGCUUGAGCCCAGGAGUUGGAGACCAGACUGAGCAACAUAAUGAGACCUCGUCUCGUCAAAAAACAAAAAUGGAAAAUUUUUAAAAAACAGGCCGGGCAUGGUGGCUCACGCCUGUAAUCCCAGCACUUUGGGAGGCCAACGUAGGCAGAUCGCUUGACCCCAGGAGUUUGAGACCAGCCUUGGCAACAUGGCAAAACCCUAUCUCUACGAAAACUGUUUAAAUUAGCUGGGCGUGGUGGCACGUGGUGGUUCUAGCUACUUGGGAGGGCUGACGUGGGAGGAUUGCUUAACCCCGAGAGGUCGAGGUUGUAGUGAGCUGUGAUUGCACCACUGCACUCCAGCCUGGGCGACAGAGCAAGACCUUGUUUCAACACAAGUAAAAUAUUUGUGAAAUGGGAAUUCAGUUUCAUUUUUUUUUUAACUGAUCAAAAAUAUAACUUUCACCCCCACUGAGGCUUAAAAGAACAAAAACAAAAAAGUGUGACUGACAUUCGGCGGUUUUGGCUUCUAGACCGCCACUAAUAUUGAGCUGAGUUCCUGUAACUCUGGCUAAAAGCAAAGAGCUGUGUUUUAGCCAGAGCAGUUUUAUUAUGAGUUAGAUUUAUGAUUUCCAGUAGGCUUUUUGAAAUGUUGGCCAGAGGUCAGGGACUCCCUGUCCCCAUUCAUAGAUUCUAGACUGAAUCUCUUUCAAUAUGAACACAUUUGGCUCUUUAAGAAAGACUUAACUAAACUGGGAUUCAACUGGAUUGCCUCGAGACUUUGGGCAGAGCACAUGACUUAUUUUGUCCUAGAGAUUCCAAUCUGCUGGACACUCAGAAACUUUCACAACUUCUAUUUUUCACAUUUUUUCAUAUUUUAGGCUUCAGUGCAGAAGGAUUAAAAGUAAUGGCUAAGUUUUCUAAUGCUGUUAUUUAUUUUUUCUUGAGGCUUUAUGGUCACUAAAAAAGUAACAAUAUAUAGUACGUAAAAAAACUUAAAGAUACUGUGGCUUAUAAAAGCGUAUCUUUUUUCUGAGAACAAAAUUAGCCAAUUAAAUAAUAAAACCAUCAAGAGAUGUCACCAGUCAAUGAUGAUGGGGCAAAAAUUGUUCUGCAUUCCGAGGAGGGAGAAAUCGAUGCAAGCAGAAGCGAUUAAACAUUCACAUCUUGGAGCUAAAUGACCUCCUAGGAUGGAUGGGUUUUAUAGAGGUGGAGAGGUGGGGGGAGGGUGCUGGAUGAAAUAACUGGAAAAUCUCCUUUUUCUUACUAUUUUUCUUCAGUCCCUUUAUAGGCACAACUGCUUAAAGAAACCAGAUGGCCCCAGGAUGGUGCCAGAGCUUCCUGACCCCUUAUCAGAUACCAGAGGAAGAUAAGACUGCAGAGCGGAACAGGAUAGGCAACCCCUGGUUGGCUUCAGAUCAUUAUCAUGUCGUUAUAAUGCUAAAAUUCCUUCUCCUAAAAGAAAGUCUCCACCAUUUUGUGUACAUGUGAUGUAUGAAGACGUAUGUUUAUGAAUUGUGUGUGCACAUUUAGAGUCUCACUUUGCACAUGCUAACAUUCCUCUCCUGUCCCACACCUAGUCCUAAAAACUCCAUGCCUUCUAGUGUUUGGGGAGAAGGGGCAUUUAGAGUUAAGAGCCCCUUCCCUGGCCAGCGACUAAAACCUGGUUACCGUUUACAGUUGAAUGUCCUCUGCGUAAAUCGAUACAAAGUGGGGAAAGAGCUGAGUUUACCAGUGACGACUGGAAGACCCUCUCUUUGAGAUUUGUACCAAACCAGGUCUCAGUCUGCCUGUACAUGCUCUGUCAUUGCUUUCACUGUGUUGACCUACUUGCUGCUUUACCCUUUGUGUCUGGCCCUCUCUUGUACUUAGUUCUUUCCUCCUGUCCGUCUCCACCCUCUUUCACAUACUUUUUCUCAGUUUUGUGACUUUAGCAGACCUUUUCGGCUGGCCCCCAGCACAUCCCAUGGCCUGGCAGCAGGUGGUUUCUGCCUGGAGGGCUCAGCCAUCAAAAGAUUUCAAGAUGUAUAUUUUGUAAGGCAAAGCCUAUACUCAUAGACUUUGUGAAGGACCUGGUUGGGGAGACAGGAGAAAAAAUGGAUGGGAAAAAAGUAGUAAGCAGUUUUACUGUGUGAGAUAUUAGUGGGCGAGAUAACAUUGAAGCAGUGCUUGAUUAAAUACCAAAUGAAGUUCCAAUGGUAGCUGAGAGAAGGGAGGGGAGAGACCAUUUCAGACUGGGGCCUGUGUUAGUCUGCUUGUGCUGUUGUAGCAAUGUAGCACAGACUGAGUGGUUUAAACAAAAGAUUGAUUUCCUCACCGUCCUGGAGUCUGGAUAUCCAAGAUCAAGGUGUCAGCAGGGUUAAUUUCUUCUGAGGACUCUCCUUGGCUUUUAGAUGGUCACUUUCUCCCCGUGUCUUCAUGGUCUUCCCUCUCUAUUUUGUCUGUGUCUCUAAUCCCUUAUACAAACACCAGUCAGGCUGGGCACGGUGGCUCACACUUGUAAUCCCCACACUUUGGGAGGCUGAGACAGGAGGAUCACUUGAGGUCAGGAGUUUGAGACCAGCUGGACCAGUAUGUUAAAACCCCGUCUCUACUGAAAAUACAAAAAUUAGCCAGGAGUGGUAGCUCACUCCUGUGGUCCCAGCUACUUGGGAGGCAAAGGCAGGAGAAUUGCUUGAACCUGGGGAGGGUGAGGUUGCAGUGAGCUGAGAUCAUACCACUGCACUCCAGCCUGGGCAACAGAGCAAGACUCCAUCUCAAAAACAAAUAAAGCCGGACGCAGUGGCUCGCGCCUGUAAUCCCAACACUUUGGGAGGCCGAGGCAGGCAGAUCACUUGAGGUUAGGAGUUCGAGACCAGCCUGGCCAACACAGUGAAACCUCAUCUCUGCUAAAAAUACAAAAAUUAGCUGGGCAUGGUGGUACACGUCUGUAGUCCCAGCUACUUGGAAGGCUGAGGCAGGAGAAUCGCCUGAACCCAGGAGGCAGAGGUUGCAGUGAGCCGAGAUUGUGACAUUGCAUUCCAGCCUGGGCGACAAGAGCAAAACUCCGUCUCAAAGACAGACAAACAAAAAACACCAGUCCCUGGAUUUCUAACUGCCUCAUUUUAAUUUAGUUACUUCCGAGGCCCUUUCUCCAAAUGUAGUCACUUUUUGAGGUACUGGGGGUUAGGUCUUCAACAUAAGAAUUUGAGGGAAAUAAAACUGAGCCCAUAGCAGGGUAAUAGGAAAGGCUUUACCAAGUUAAAGCUGGGAUUGGAAAUACCCCAUUUCUGUGAUUAAAAAAUGUACCUUUGACAUUUCUGAAAUCAGUAUAUUUCUGACCUUCAGGGUACAGUUUAAAAAGGCAUACUGCCCUGGUUUUACCAUUAGUGGUUGAAAGGAUGGACAGUACAGACUUCUACUGGGAAAGAGGUCUUAGUGUUAGAUGCAUCAGCUUCUUGGGUCAGGGGCAAGAUUUUUCUCUAAGUUGCCUAUCGGAAUUGAAUCUGCCUUGCCUGAGCCUCUCCUUUCAGACUUUCUUCCCUCUCCCCAGCCAUCAGUGACCUUUCAGUCUUCAUCCCAGGUCCUCUUUCUUCCUCUGCCUCAGAGCCUAGUUAAUUGCUUCUAUUCAGUGAAAUUAGAGUUCAAGAGUCUGGGACUGGGAUUCCUUCUCAGAGAAUGCAGGAGUAGAAGGCAAACACAUCUGACUUCUUGCUUACGUCAUAGAACAUUACAGGAUGCUGUGGACUGAAUUGUGUCCCCCACGAAUUCGUAUGUUGAAACCCUAACUCCUAGUGUGAUUGAAUUUAGAGUAAGAAAGUAAUUAAGGUUAAAUGAUGUCAUAUGGCAUGUGAAAACACAGCCAGAAGCUGGCCAUCUGCAUACUACCAGGAACUGACUUGCCAGCCUCCAGGACUGUGAGAAAAUAAACUGUUGCUUAAGCCAUCAGUCUAUGGUGUUUUGUUAAAGCAGUCCAAGCUAACUAACACACAGAGGUACGAGUCCCUCUGAAAAUUGUCAGUGUUCCUUCAGUUCUCUUUGGGUCAACUUCAGUCUAAGAAUAGGUCUUAGGCCAGUCAAGCUGUACCCCUGACACUGAGGAUGGUUCCACUAAUUCGCCAUCCCCUAAUUCAGGAGGGGGAAGGAUAGAUACGUGAACAAAAUUGAGAUCCUUUUGAGAAGGAAGAGGAAGGGAAUCAGUGCUGGGCGCACAUUUAGCAAUGUCCAGAUGCCCAUAUGCGAUACGACCAUGAUAUGAUCUUAGGUGGCAUUAAUUGAAUACUAUUUAGAAGGAGGAAAAUGGCCUUUUUCUACUCCCAGCAGUUGAGACCAAACUUGUAGUAGGCACAAGGAGAGGCAGCAUAGAGGGUAGAGGCUAAGCAUGCAGGGCCCUGGAGAUUGGCUGCUUGCAUUUUAAUACUGUCUUUCACAUCCUAGCAUUGUGACUUUGAGCAGGAUACUUCUGUGUCUCCUCAUCUCCAAAAUGGAGAAUAAUAAUAGUAACCUAGCUAAUGGGAUUACUGAAGAUUCAAGUAAUACAAUUGAAAUGCUUUAAACAGAGCCUGGCACAUAAAUACUAAAUAAAAAUUGGUGUUUAUAAUUAGUCUGCUCUGGGAAACAUUCUUUCAAGAAGCAUACAGACUAAGUGCAACAGAUUUAGAGAAUGUGACUGAAAAGGGAAGGGGACAAGCCAUGUCAUCUAAGUGAAGGCUGAAGGAGCCAGGGGUGUUAAGACUAGAAAUGGGAAAACAGGAUAUAAAACAUUUGACACAUCUGGAAAAGUCUCAUAUUGUUUGUUGUCUGUUAUGUGUGUUUUGUGUGACUCAGAAGUAGAUAAGACGAAUAGUCCUAGAAGGAAUGCAGAAGACAGUGAGAUGGAGUUGAGAGUGUGAUUUCACAGUCAUAAAGACUCAAGUCUGAAUUCCAGUUCUGUCACUGAUUAGUUCUGUGCCCUUGGAGGUUUUACUCACAUUCAUGGAACCUCAGUUUGUCUGUCUGUAAAAUGGAAAUAAUGACUUCUGCUGUUUGGUUGAGCGAGGUGAUGGGGAUGGUUCAUGGUGAAGCAGAAAGGUACUACCAGAUGAGUUUACUGGCUGCGAUCUGGCCCUCAACUUUGCAGGUCUAAACUUUUGUAAUUACCCAGAGAUGAGCUUGGUGGCAGACCGACACUAAUACCUCUUUCAGGGUUGUAGUGGGUUGAAUAGUUAGUGGCCCUCAAAAGAUAUGUCAGCAUCCUAACCCACUCAACUGGUGAAUGUAACCUUAUUUGGAAAAAGGGUCUUUAUAGAUGUAAUUAAGGAACUUGAGAUGAUCCUGGAUUUUCCAGGUGGACACUAAAUGCAGGGACAGGUGUUCUUAAGGGAGGAAGAGCAGGCAGCCAUGGGAAGACAGCAAGAGAAUGGAGGUAUGCAGCCAUAAGCCAAGGAACACCUGGAGUCACCAGACACUGGAAGAAGCGAGGAAAGAUUCUCCCUAGAGCCUUUGGAGGGAGCGUGGCCCUGCUGGAUUUUCAACUUUACCCUCCAGAGCUGUGAGAGAAUAAAUUUCUCUUGUUUUAAGCCACCAAGUUUGUGGUAACUUGUUAGAGCAGCCUCAGUAGCCACUAAAUAAAGUCCAGUUGAUUAGGGAAAUCUAUCUGGCUUAACUAAUGAUAAAAACAAAUUUAAGAAAAUAAUUCCUUUGGGAGGCCAAGGCAGCAGGAUUGCUUGAGGCUAGAUGUUUGAAACCAGCUUAGGCAACUAAGCAAAACGCCAUCUCUGCAAAAAUAAAAAAAAAUAGCUGCACAUGGUAGCACAUGCCUGUAGUUCUAGCUACUAGGGAGGCUAAGGUGGGAAGAUUGUCUGAGCCCAGGAGUUGGAGGCUGCAGAGAGCUGUGAUCGCACCAUUGACUCCAGCUUGGGCAAUAGAGUGAGACUCUGUUGCUCCAAAAAAAAAAAAAAUAGCCAUCAGAAGAAGGUGUUGUUAAUAAAAACCAGAUAAACUGGGUUUGGAAAAGAAUAUUUUGCCAUAUGAAUCCAUCCCUGUCCAGGUGAAAGAGAUGAGGAGCCUAGAGACGAAAGAUUUUGGUUACUACUGAAGUGUUCUGUUCAGUGGGUCAUGGACGUUUCAUUAUUAGGCUGCUUCCUGGUCUGAGUGAAAUCUCUUCAAGACGAUUCCUUUCUUUGCUGCAGUUCAGCAUUUAUCAAAAAAUAGCCAAUGGAAUGCCAGUGCUGAGAAAUGCUCUGAAGUAAAAGUAUUCCAUGGUUAAAUAGGCUCGGGGUGUCGUAUCUCCCCAGUCUUAGAGCUUCACAAGCACAUCAUCAUAGGAGCCAAGAAGUUAUGACAUAAAGCUGUUUGAACUAUUUAAUAUUUUCACAAAUGUAUUUGAGCCCAGGACCUUUGUAUAGCAAAAUAAUACCACAUUAGAAACAUUAAUAAUUACAUUUCCCAAGUAUCCUGGUAUGGGGAAAGAAUGCCCUGGUUAAGAAAUUCAAGACAAUAAAAGCUGAGUGCGGUGGCUCACGCCUGUAAUCCCAGCAUUUUGGGAGGCCAAGGCGGGCAGAUCACCUGAGGUCAGGAGUUCGAGACCAGCCUGGCCAAAAUGGUGAAACCCCAUCUCUACUAAAAAUACAAAAAUUAGCUGGGCGUGGUGGCGGGCGCCUAUAAUCCCAGCUACUUGGGAGGCUGAAGCAGGAGAAUCACUUGAACCCAGGAGGUGGAGGUUGCAGUGAGCUGAGAUCGCGCCAGUGCAUUCCAGCUUGGGCAACAGAGUGAGGCUUCAUCCCCCUCAAAGAAAAGCCAAACUAAUAAGAUUCAAAAUGAUAAAAUAAUAAAUUGGUGUUUUUUUAUACUUUGCCCUAUAGUAGUUUCCUUGCCUCUUCCAGCUUCUGGUGGCUGCCCCAGCAUUCCUGAGCGUGUGGCUGCGAAACUCCAGUCUCUGCCCCCACCUUCACAUCAUCUUCUCCAUGUCUCCUUACCUUCCUUUGCCUCUGUCUUGAAAAGACACUGUGAUGGCAUUUAGGACCCACCCAGCUAAUUCAGUGUGUUCUCAUCUGCAGAUCCUUGAUCAAGUCACAUUUGCAGAGACCUCUUUUUCAAAUAAGGUAACAUUUCCAAAUUCCUGGGAUUAAGACUUGAUAUCUUUGGGUGGUCAUUAUUUAACCUACUACAAUUGGGCCUAUCCCUAGGCCAUGCCAGCCUGGGUGAUAAAGCGAGACUCUGUCUCAAAAAAAAAAAAAAAAAAAAAUCUUUAAUUGCUGAAAAGCAUGAAAUGUUUCCUUUCCGUCCCUGAAUUUUCUCAUGUCAUUUUUUUCACUGGAAUGCCUUCUCCCUCUUCUUUGUUUAUCCAAAUUCUACUUUAUCUUCCAAAGCCCAUCUCACCUUCUCCAGUAAGUCUUCCCUGAGUGCUCCAGCUUUUGAUCAGCUCCUCCUCAGAAUCCUCUGGCACCACCGGUAUCAUUCUUCUGAGCCCUCUUCAUGUGCAUUGUCUUGGCAUUUAAAGUAGGAGUUUGUGUGUACAUGAACACGAGUAUAUGUACACAUGUGUGAUCUUCCCAUUUACAUUUAAGAUCCUCGAGCAGUGUUUUUCAGCUUUGGGCUCCUCUGGUCUCUGGGGAUUACGAAGAGGUAGUAAUGGCUUCAUUACAGCUUAUCACAGGGACACUGCUAGAGAUGUAAAAAUGAGUGAGACAUGGUCCCUAUCUAUAGGAAAUUCAGAGUGUGGGACGGGCUCCAGUCAUAGAAACAGAAUUUCAAUACGGUAUGCUGAGAGCUGUAAUACAGACACGCACAGGAUGCAGCUGUAGGUGUGUGCGCUUCAGGAGGUCUUCUUCAGAAAGUUUAUCACUGGUCACAUGUUUAUCCCACAACGGGUUUUCACAUUUUAAUUAGAAUGUCAGCUUUUUCUCUUGGUUGGCAUUUUUUUCAACUCAGUAUGAUCAUUCUAGAUGUUUCCUGCUGAUGAAAUUUGAUUGACAUUUUGUCUUUGAUUUAAAAAAAUAAAAAAAAUGAUGAAGUUGUAAGCUAAUAAAUGCAGUUUGGCAGAUGAAAUCUUUAAAAGCCUGGGAGUUCAUUGGGUAAAAGUAUAAAAGUUGUCCAAAAGGAAUCACUUCUCUAGAGGUGAAUGUUUUAAACUUAACUUGUGUUAUGCAUGUGGUAGUUGUUUGCUAGAGUCUGGGUUGUGUCCCCCCAAAAUUCAUCUUUUGAAGUCCUAAUCCCUGUACCUCAGAAUGGGAUUGCAUUUGGAGACAGGGUCCUUAAAAAGGUAAUUACGUUAAAAUAAAGUCAUUAGGGUGAGCGCUAACCCAGUAUGAAUCCUGUCUUCUUAAGAAGAGUGAAUUUGGAUGUAGAUGCGUGGACAGAGGGAAGACCAUGUGAGGAGGCGUCGGCAAGCCGAGGAGGGAGGCCUUAGAAGGAACCACCCUGCUGACACUUUGAUCUUGGACUUCUGGCCACCAGAACUGUGAGAAAAGAAAUUUCUGUUAUUUAGCCACUAGGUCUAUGGUAGUUUGCUGUGACAGCCCUAGUACUAACAUUUUGUUUAAUAACCGUUUUCUUAUAUAUUGGCUCUCAGGGCCCUUCAUAGACAUCUUGCCCUGGUCCGUUUACUCAGCCUUCUGUCCUGACAGUCCCUCACACCUUCUAUGCCCGCUGACCUCUCAGUGUUCACUGAAUACAUCCUGCCUUUGAAUGCCUCCGAGUCCUUCCUGAGGAUUCUCUCUGCCUGGAUUGCUGUUUCUUCUCCUAGUUGGACUUCUUUGAAAACCUUAGUCAAAUGUGUGCUCUGGGGAGCCUUCCAGGGCUCCCAGGCUGAGUUAGAAGUUUUUUAUGGCAUUGUAUUUUCAUGAAAGUGUCUCCUCAUUAGACAGUGUGCUCCUAAAGUAUAGGACUUAGGUCUGAUUCAUUUUUGUACCUCUAGAGCCAAACAUGGUGUAUUAGUUUGCUCAGACUGCCAUUAUUAAUACAAUAUCACAGGCUGAGUAGUUUAAACAACGAACAUUUAUUUUCUUACAGUUCUGGAUGCUGGAAGUUCCAGAUCAAAGCCCAGCAGAGUUGGUUUCUAGUGAGGAGUCUGUUCCUGGCAUGUAGAGAGCUGCCUUCUAGCUAUGUUCUCACGUCUUUCCUCAAUGCAUAUGUGAAGACAGAGGUCAGGCCAGGGGGAGGGAGAGAGGGCUCUCUGGUGUCUCUUCUUAUAAGGACAGUAAUCCCACAUGUGGUCAAGGCCCUACCCUUAUGAUCUAAUUUAACCUUAAUUACUUCCUUAUUGGUCCUAUCUCCAAAUGAAGUCACACUGGGGAUUAGGGCUUCAAUAUAUGAAUUUUGGGGGGACACAGUUCAGCCUAUAACACAUGGUCAAUCAUGAUUUAAGCUGAUUUGGAAAAAAUUAAGUCUCAAUUGUUAGUGAACACCAGUCUCUAUAUUGAUAUGAGCUAUUGGCAAAUAAUUCUAUUUGAAUAAAAAGAAUAUUUUGAAUAAAAGGUAGAAUCAAAUAUUGACAACCAUGAACACACGUGGAAUAAGAUACUCUAGGAUUAUAUUAUCUACAUAAUUAUAUAUGCAGAGUCCUUGCACCAAGUUGUAUUAGGCAAGGAUAUUACAAUCACUCUCAUUGGAAUCUUCCAGAAGAACAUAUUACGUUUCAGAUGUUUAUAAUAGCAAUAAGCCACUCAGUCUCUGACUCAGCUUAACUAUUUUCAUAAUUGUUUUAAGCUUUAGGCUCAGAAUUUUUUGCCAGCAAAACUCACACUUGACAAACACAGACUGCUGAAUGCAAAACAAGUUUUUAGUAUUUACAAUUGGAUAAACUUGAUAUGAAAAGAACAACUUAGAGCUUUUUUAUAAAUACAGACUAGAGGAUAAGCUACUGAGUAAAGUUCUAUAUCAUAGAGACUAAUGAAAUCCCAAUUUAGAUUUUAUUUUAGGUUGGUUUUGUAGUGAAAAACCAACCUUCAAAGAAAGGAGUAAUGUUCAGGUGUGCACUUAAGAAACCAAAAUAAUCUAAGUGAAAUACCUAAUAUAUAAGGCCGGGUAUAGAUGCUUCUCAGCUUACGAUGAGGUUAUGUCCCUCAUCAUAAGUUGAAACUAUUAUAAACCUAAAAUGCAUUUACUACACCUGACCUACUGAACUUCAUAGCUUAGCCUAGCCUACCUAAAACUUGCUCAGAACAUUUACGUUGGCAUACAGUUGGGCAAAAUCAUCUAACACACAGCUUAUAUUAAAAUGCUGAAUAUCUCAUGCAGUUUAUUGAGUACUGUACUGAAAGGGAAACACAGAAUAGUUGUAUAAUUACUCAAGGUAUGGCGUCUACUGAAUGGGUACUGCUUUUGCAUCUUUGUAAAGUUGAAAAAUCUUAAGUCAAUUCAUUGUAAGUCAGGGACCGUUUCUACCAAUAAUUUAGAGACCUUGAGUAUAUUAGGGUACACUGGGUUGGCAUCUACAUAGAUUCUAGGUGGAGAUAAAAUCCUGACAGCUGUAUAGUUUCAUGAUUAUGAUUUUCAGGUGAAAUAUACAGCCUGGGAGAAAUGUAAUGUUUGAGGAUAUCGGAGAUACGGUGCCUAUAAUUACUACACAAAAAAACCUAAGAGGGCAUUAGUAUAUUAGUUUUUAUCUUCAAGUUUACCUUACUCUUCAUACAUGUCACUGAUGCUAAGAUCUGUUAAAUGAAAAUUCUGGAAAAAAUGAAUAUGAUCAUUGUACAGUGUAUGAACCUUGAUAUUGUGGCCUAGAAGAUAUUAUAAAACAAGAUUGAUUCUAACUGAAAAGCUUACACAUUCUCUAAGCUCCAAAUCAGAUGUCGAGGGUAGGAGCACUUCUGGAAUAGUGGAUAAAGACCUGAGAAAAUCAACAAUUCCAUAAAAGCAACAAGACCAAGCAAGAUACAUGAAAUAAAAAGCAACAACUAAAGGGAGAAAUGCAAUACCCACUUUUCAAUAAUAGAUAAAACUACCAGGCAGACGAUCAACAAGGAAAUAGAAGACUUAACACUAUAAAGCAACUAGACCUUAUAGACACCUAGAGAACAUUCCACCCAAGAACAUCAGAAUACAUACUCUUCACAAGUGCCCGUAAAACAUUUUCAAAGAUAGGCCAUGUAUUAGGCCAUAAAACAAGCCUUAUAAAAUUAAAAGGAUUGAAAUCAUACAAAGUAUGCUCUCCCCUCACAAGGGAAUUAAAUGAGAAAUUAUUAACAGAAGGAAAGUUGGGAAAUUCACAGAUAUGGAAAUUAAACAACAAACUCAUAAAUAAUGAAUGGUUAAAGAAAAUCACAAGGGAAAUUAGAAAAUAUUUGGAAUGAAUUAAAGUGAAGACAUAACACCAAAACUUACGGGAAGCAAUAAAUGCAGAGCUUAGAAGGAAAUUUAUAUUAAUAAGAGAUCUCAGUCACAAUGUCUUGUGCCUAUAAUCCCAGGGACUUGCAAGGCUGAGGCAGGAGGAUCACUUGAGCCCAGGAGUUGGAAGCUGCCAUGAGCUGUGGUCACACCAUUGCACUCCAGUCUGGGCCAUAGAGUG
Molecule: long non-coding RNA, 15813 nt
Filed under: Homo sapiens (human)
Lineage: Eukaryota; Metazoa; Chordata; Mammalia; Primates; Hominidae
Description: non-protein coding NUP50-DT:40
Source: RNAcentral